GACAGAGGGUGCGAACGUUGUUCGGAAUCAUUGGGCGUAAAGCGCACGUAGGCGGUCUGUUAUGUCGGAUGUGAAAGCCCUUGGCUCAACUGAGGAAGUGCAUCCGAAACUGGCAGGCUAGAGUACUAAAGAGGAUCGCGGAAUUCCCGGUGUAGAGGUGAAAUUCGUAGAUAUCGGGAGGAACACCGGUGGCGAAGGCGGCGAUCUGGGUAGAUACUGACGCUGAGGUGCGAAAGCGUGGGGAGCGAACAGG
RNAcentral lists this ribosomal RNA (253 nucleotides) under uncultured bacterium. RNAcentral's name for it is "partial 16S ribosomal RNA". It matches the Rfam family "Bacterial small subunit ribosomal RNA", at positions 524 to 776 of the family's 1533-position model. The record is from RNAcentral.